This 6908-nucleotide long non-coding RNA is filed under the name Acanthaster planci (crown-of-thorns starfish). RNAcentral describes it as "uncharacterized LOC110985288, transcript variant X1". The record is from RNAcentral. Lineage: Eukaryota; Metazoa; Echinodermata; Asteroidea; Valvatida; Acanthasteridae.
GGCGGAGGAGCGGGUCGCAAGCGGCGCGGAUGCCGAGGCAAGUCGUAGUUGACUCCACUUUUCAAAAUUAUUUCCGAAAGAAUUCUGGAUUGGGUUCCAAGCCUGCAUUGUGUGCCCCUGCUGGAUGGCUACAAACUCAGCAUGGUACCAUACCAUUUCCUGCUGGGUGGGAACUAAACCAUCAUUGGCCCACUGCAUGUAUGCAAAGGGUCUGCCCAUAGCAAUUUCAAGUGAAUGCAUGGGGUUAUCUGUGGUGUGGAAUGAAAGACCUUCAGGAGAAUCUGGGGUGGAUAUAUUUUCAUGUGUUUAAGAGAGGAAGAUAACAUCUGGAUUUCAAGUUGUCUUCUCACAUGGUCAGGUACCAGAAUAGUCACAGUACCAACUGUCCUCGGUUUGGAAUGCUGACUGCACACCAGGCUCCGUGCUGCAGAAGGACCAUUUGUUCUGAACAGUUGGUUAUCAGCAUGAAAGUGUGAAUGUAUGGAAACAUCAGGACAGGAAAUGAAAAGGACGACAGGCCAAAGACACAGCAGUCUCCCCUUAAUAUAUAAGCACUGUCAGUUCUUCAGGAGUGGCCAAUAAGUACUCUACAUGAGACCAACAGAAGCCUCUCAAAAGACAAAUAUUUCUCAUUUCUGUGCUACGUGCUUGGAACCAAGCUUAACAUGCACACAUAAUUGUUGGAGUAUUCAAUUCCAAUGGCAGCUUUGCAUUGAGCAAAUUGUUCAGUGCAAACUCCUUAUAGUAUACACUUUUGUUAUUUUAUAAAUGUUAGUGUGCAUAGUUGGUUUUUAAGCUGUUCAUCACCUUUUCGCCGUUUUAAUCUGUUAUUGCAAUUUGUUCUUAGUUAUGUAUGUGUCUCAUUUAGUUUGUGUGAUUCUUGGUUUAAGUUGCUUACUUGUGAAAACUUGAAAGUCCAUUGAUGUUUGUUUAUGAAAGAACAUUUUGUUACAUUGAACAAAAAAUCCAGAGUCUUGACACAUUGCUCUGAAGCAUUUUUGUUUUCCAUUUAGUUUUGAAAAAGCAACAUGUUUUUGCCCUGUUCAAGAUGGCUGAGUACGCCCAUCAUCAGAAGCUGUGAGGUUACGAGGUGUCAUCCUAAGACCACUCACGGCUUGAGAGCAAUCUGUCUUGUCAUGAGGCAUGCAGUGUUCUCUGUAUGAGAUCCCUUAUUUUUCCCAGUUGAAUUCUGUGUUGCUAGCCCUACCAGGGUUAGCACUAGAUGGUGUGGUCACCAGACCACUAAGGUCAGUGCCCUAUAUCUCAAACCGGACAUAGUGAUUGGUUGGAAUCUGUUUCUUGAACCUGCCAGGAAGAUUGAAUUUGUGCUUUUUUUCUGAUACUGUAUCACAUAUGUGGGAAUUUCAGAAUCAAGAAAAUGAACUUGACACCCUUGCAGAACUACAUGUAAAAAAAAAAAGAAACAGAGAGCUUUUUCUUCGUACCCUUAGACGCUGGAUAAUAACCUGUCACGGUUUUAUCUCCAAUUCCUAGCAACUUUCCUUUGAUGCUUAUUUUUACUUUUGGUUGUUUUCCUGUAAGCAAACAUACUUCUUCCAGUUAUCGCGUUUGAGAGUGAUCUGUCCUGAGUUUGGAAUCUUUGAAAAGAACAAUAUCCAAAUUGUUUACAUACAGUUACCACGUUAAAUCAGGUUUUUUUUGUUCAUACAUUUUAUUUUUAGUGUUAGAAUAAAUCCUUUUGUUCACCUAUAACAUUGUGCCAAUUAAGUAGUCACUUGUUCCAUAACAGUCUCAAGUAAUUAUGUGGGGAUUCCAGACCUCCAGAGAUGUAACAAGACAUUUGACACAACAAGAACGCAGCACAACAGGGCAGACCAAGUUGUGACCCUAACCCAGCCAAAGUCACGUAUUUCUCAUUUGUACCCCAGCCGGCUCUGUUCACUACCACUUAAGCCUCCACAAUCAAGCCAAUUAGUGGAAGUUAAAACUGGUUGUGUGUCAUAGUUUGGGGGAUUGGUAUCCAGUGGCCCUUGGAGGUCUCUUACAAGAUUGUACUAUACAUGUAUUUGUAGCAAGGUUCAUAUGUGUAAACUCCACAUUUAUGUCAAAUACAUGUUGCUGAAAAUAAGUUUUCAAAUUCACUGGACUAAGGUAGACCACUUUGUUUACAUUUAGAUUGAGCCCCCCCCCCUUUUAAAUGUUCAUUAUGUUUUCAACAUAUUUUUCAAAUCCAGUAUAUAUUUAAUUUGAGUACCAUACAUGUGUUUUUCUGAAUGUUGACAAUUUGAUACAUUUGAAUCAGCGUUACUUUUACUUUUGUUGCUCAAGUGUGUUUUCACAGUUACAUGUACUUCAGAACUGACAAGUAAAGGACCUCUGUAGCUGCCAAUGUCAUGUUUGGACUCACCUUUUUUUAUUUGGUAUUACUUUCCAUCACUGCUUAUCUGAAAUUGGCUUAAUAAUCUUAAUCUGGGAGGGGGUUGUAAUAGUUCUGCUGAAUGGCUUUUACCUUAGAGUUGGUUCUCUAGGUUGAUAUUUAAUUUUGUUGACUUUUUCAUUCCAUUGCAGUUGCAGCAAUAUUCCUUUUACUUCUCUUGUUCACGGUCAUCCUAAACAAAAUGUUUUCACAAUACCUCAACUCAGGUUUAUUCUUGUAUAUGCUUAUGUAUUAUGGAAAAGCAUUUGUGUAUCUGUGUAUGGUUGACUGUUAAACGAAUAGGGGAGAAAUAUGCUUUGGGUUGAGCAGUCCUGUGACCACAGGAAGUUGUUGCCUAGUUCAUCAGGCAUCAGUGACCUCUGCAUUCCUUUGCUCUGAGUGUCCACAGUAGUUCACCAAACCACUACUAUUUUACAAAAUACAACCUGGUCAUCCCACUGCUUGAAUACUGACACCCCAGGAUGCUGCUGGUUGUCCUGAAUACCCACUAGUAACAAGUCAUGAUUCAUACUUUAAUUUGUGAGUUCUUUCUUUUGGUAAACAUUAAUUCAUUUGCUGGAAACCCUUCACCUACUAGUUACAGCUGUUCUAAAACCAUCUAUGUGUGAUUAGUGUGGCCGUAAAUUAUAAUUGUUUGAUUUUGUAAAAAGAUGUGAAUAGUUUCAUGUUGAAUUUUGAAAGUGUCAUAGCUUUGUUUUCCAAAUGCAAUAUGUUUAUCAACAUCAAACAAUUCAAUAGGCUUAAUCCAAACAAGCUGAGAAUCACUCCCAAUCCAGUCCAGCUAUUUCCUUGUGCCAUCCUCUCAGAAUUGUGUAAAAACAACUUUUUGUUUUUGUGCUUUCUUCUCCCUGGAGGUCGGCCGGGGUCAAGGUGCACUGGCCGCAAGUUUGUCAGCGCCUGACUGCCACCCCAGUAGCACUUCCUUCCAGGUACUGGGAACCCUAAAAGCCCCCGCUGGGUUGAUUGUGUAUUCCCCCAGCUGAGGUGUUGGUGCUUUUGUUUCAACUUUGCCUAAUGUAAUAUAAUAGUGCCAGAGGGCUGGUGUAGUUCACUCAAGUUCAGUGGUAUAAAUGUUUGAGUGUUGGUGUGUGGCCGUAGCUACAGAAGUCCUUUUACUUCAGGAAAAUGCAAUGCACUUUUUCUUUGGCUGGGUCAGUGUUUUCUGGGAGGAGUGAUCAAAUUGAGCUAGAGGAAAAUGUUUCCCACAAACUUACUUCUCUUUUGCGUGGUAUGUUGAAGCCUUUUUAUAUAUAACAGUGUCUUUUCCAACCAGUCCACCUUUGUUGGUUUUAAGAUAGCAUUGUCAUUGAUAUAUUCAAUCGGAAGAUAUUUGUGAAACCUUAUUUUCUUUAUUUAUUGAUUGUGUAAUUUAUUUCCUUUUUUAGUGAAACAAAUAUUGAUGAAACUUAAACUACUUGUGUACAUAGUGGAAGAACAAAAAUUAAUUCAUGAAUUAAAAGCUUAACAUUGACAAAAAAGUGUAUUUGAUAAUACAGCGUAGACAGAGUACCUGAGAGAGUAAUUGAUUUCACUCUUAGACUUAAUGUUACACUGGUUAUUAUGUACAUGUAAACGGCUAACAUUCAUAUUGUUGAGAUAACCAUAAAUGGAUUGGUAUUUUUUAAUUGAACAAAAGUCGUAUUUGAAAUUCCAGAAAAAAGUGGACCUUUCCCCCCCCCAAAAAAAGAAAAUGAAAAAUAUUUUUCAGGUACAUGUAAAUGGACUGGUGCCAACACCUUGGCUAUGUAAAUAGAUGUAGAAUACUCCCAUGGGGCUGGUAUGUACAUCUGGUUUCUUGUCUAGGUAAUGUAAUCACUUCACACUGCCCUUUGGCAGUUGCUAUAUUCUUGGUCCAAGUUAGUGUGUGGAGUCUGGAGAGCAUGAGAUCUUGGUAGUAUGGUACAAUAUUGCAUCUUGCUGUCCUACUUAUAUUAUUACUGUGUCUACAUAGAUCAUAUUUUUAUCAUCGUAGAAUAGCUAUGAUUACUUGUGUAUGGGGGUGUUCACUUGUCAAGUGUUUAUGAUGAUUUCUGCUGUGUGGGAGUAGAAUAGGUUAUUUAUGUCAGGAAUUAAAAAAAGCAAAUUGUCUGGCUUAUGGGUGCAAAGACAGUGGUCUUUGGCCUGGUCUGAACUUUUUUUGUUUACAUCUGGAGCAAAGAUUAACCUUUGUAAAUGUACAAGUGUGUACUGUACAUGCCAUCUGCUGUUUAUGAUCCCUGAUGAAAGUUUGUACACAUAGUUACCUUGUUAAAAACAGGGGGCUUACUCUGCUCCCAUUACAAUGGUAAAUGUGCUGGAUUAGGAUUCACUAGGCACUUGACAGUAAUAAGUCUCAUGUAGUUUAACUUCUUGUGCUUGAGUAAUGAAGGCUUUGAUUUAGCAUAAAACAUUAAAGUAAAGAGAUGACCAUUGCAAGCUUUUUGAAGAAGGCUUAUUUUAGGCUUAAGUUCAAAUUUUUCAUCUCACCUUCCCUUCCAAGUUUUUUAUGACAUGUAUGUGUAGCAUUUGUUCCAGUCGGCUUGUACAUUAGUUCCGAUAUAUUUUGGUCACUACUGCUGAGACUACCUUUGUACAUGUGCUUGUGAGUUUUUUAUAUCUUAAAAUGUUCUCCAUAUUAUUUUUCCUAAUAUGUAUAUGCCGGUAGUCGGUGCAUGUAGGACAGCCUUCCCAAAAUACAAACACAAAGACUUCACAAAAAGUUUGAUGAACUAGACACGUGUAUUUCUAGCAUUAGUUCACAGACAGUUAUUUGUUAAAAGAAAAAUUUGAUAAAGGAAAAAGAAAGACUGAUACCACAAAUCAACAAUGUAACGGAUUAUUUAUAGAUAAAUUGUGUACAUUUGUCAUGAGAUUACAUAGUUCAUUAAUAUAAAUGGUAUAAAAGUCCCUAAAGUUUGUCGACCGAUCUGCUGACAUGCUGGAUCAUGUUCAGAAAUAUGAAUGUUUAGUUGAGUGUGUAAAGACCAGGUCUCUUCAGAGAAAUCAUCCAAGAAGUAAAAAUGCCCUCUUUUGAGGAUUUUUUUUAAUAAAGGAGCUUCACUUACCUUCCUGUUUUUCUGUUAAGAUUUUUAGUCUAAAUUUUAGCAACUAGUCCAUACAGGAAUGAAAGCUUUGACUAGUCUAACUUGAAUUGUGACAUUGCUUGAUGAUCACCAGUGCACCCCCCCCCCAAGUCUGAUGACCCCCAGGUUGGAGCUGAGGGUUGCAUGUGGACCCACCUAUGGUUAUCAUGAAUUAUUGGCAGUCCUCAAAAAAUUGAAGAACAUGUGCUAUGAAGUACCUUAGUUAGGAUAUAUGAUAUAGGGUCUGCCCACCCAUCAGUUUGAUAAGACCUAUUAGCCCUUUGUUUGUGUGUGUGUACAUGAGAUAAAGAGCACAAUCUCUGUUGACAAUCUGGUUUGUAUCCAGCUUUGAAAACAAAGGCAAAGAGUUGUCCUUUCAGGGUUAUCUAGUAUUUAGGAAAGGUUGGGGCAGAAGGAGUGAGUCAGUUGCUAUUACCAAAUGCUGUUGCCCUACAUUUCCCUACCAAAAUGCCCUUUGUUGACUCAAAUUUAAAGGAGCACAGUGGCUAGUAUCCUACUUUCUGUGUGGACCUCUGGCAUGACUAACUCCAGUAUGUAUACUGUAUGGGGGAAUUCAUGCGUGUAUGGGUUCAUGUACAGAUGAAUGCUGACUUGAAAAUUCUUAAAUUUUCAUGUCAGAUUUCUCAUUGAAAUGUGCUGAAGUCUGGAAGGCUGACUAGUAUAACAUAUGUGUAGUUACUUUCAAACUAUUCUUGAUGUACAGUUUGCCCCAAUUUAUUCAUACCCCUUCCAAAUUCAGGUAACAUAGAAUUCACAACCAAGAGAUCAUAGAAUUCACAACCAAAAGCUGAGAUCUUUGGCCAAGUGUGCUUUUGCAAAGGAAAUACAUGUACUAGUUUUUGUGUGCCCGCUUUGACCAUCAGUCUAACUCAAAUAUAGCAAACUGCCACAUUUUUCAAAGGGUAUGAAUGAUUUGGGGCUUAACUGUAAAUAUAAUUCUACCCAAACCUAUACUUGCCAAUAUUUUUUAAAUUGGAGCUUAAUCUGAAAUAAAGAUAUCAAAAUUAGUCGGAGCUCACUUAGAUUUACAUGUACAAUCACAUGUAGCUUUGUAUACAUGUACCCCGCUAUCAAGACUUUAAAGUCAAAAGAAAGACAAAAUGACCCACUGGGAGAGCAACAAAACAUUCAUGAACAUGGAAUGAAAUGAUGAGGGAAGCCUCGGCAACUAGAAAUACCAUUGGCAGUGCAAAAGAAGAAGAAGAAGCAAUCUUUAUGUAGUACUGUCUUAGUCUAUCAUUGGUUUUUUUUUAUCAAUGGAAUACAUGUUCAUAUGUUACCUCCUGGACCUAAAUUCUAACCCUGUUCAAACUGAUAACAGACCUGUUUCUACCAAUUUGUUGUUUGUCUUGCCAUGAAAGCACAGGGUAGAAUGGGAGAAAUGAAUUGUGUGUACAAUAAACGUCACUGAUGACAUUGUUUCAAUA